This 468-nucleotide ribosomal RNA is filed under the name uncultured bacterium. RNAcentral's name for it is "partial 16S ribosomal RNA". It matches the Rfam family "Bacterial small subunit ribosomal RNA", at positions 28 to 507 of the family's 1533-position model. The record is from RNAcentral.
GACGAACGCUGGCGGCGUGCUUAACACAUGCAAGUCGAACGGAAAGGCCCUGCUUUUGUGGGGUGCUCGAGUGGCGAACGGGUGAGUAACACGUGAGUAACCUGCCCUUGACUUUGGGAUAACUUCAGGAAACUGGGGCUAAUACCGGAUAGGAGCUCCUGCUGCAUGAUGGGGGUUGGAAAGUUUCGGCGGUUGGGGAUGGACUCGCGGCUUAUCAGCUUGUUGGUGGGGUAGUGGCUUACCAAGGCUUUGACGGGUAGCCGGCCUGAGAGGGUGACCGGCCACAUUGGGACUGAGAUGCGGCCCAGACUCCUACGGGAGGCAGCAGUGGGGAAUGGUGCACAAUGGGCGGAAGCCUGAUGCAGCAACGCCGCGUGGGGGAUGACGGCCUUCGGGUUGUAAUCCGCUUUCGCCUGUGACGAAGCGUGAGUGACGGUAAUGGGUAAAGAAGCACCGGCUAACUACGUG